UUGAAUGAGUACCUGUCAGGUGCCUUUUACCCCGGAUGGUAAGGCUUGAAGGCGAAACCGGUGCAAGUCCGGUGCUGUCGCGCAACUGUAAGGAGGGAAUCCCUCUAAGCCAGGUCGCCCGCCCAGCAGGUGUUCACCAC
This 140-nucleotide non-coding RNA is filed under the name Chloroflexota bacterium. The record is from RNAcentral. Lineage: Bacteria; Bacillati; Chloroflexota.